AAACGAGCUUGACCAGAUGUCGUUUAGAUUAAAAUAUCAUAGUGGCCAAAACCCCAACUCAGCGUUCUAAAACCUCGAGAACCAAAGAUCUCAUUUUCGCAGCGCCACCGGAAACUACAAGCUAUAUAAACUUGGUAGCUAUAUUCGCAAUCACUUUCCUCGAAUGAGAAGGUUCACGUUGUUAUCGCCGUAUCGGCGCCAUUUUCUUUCUUCCAUUGCAUCACAACCUCUCGUUCAUGAAAUUGAUUCGUUCCGGAAAUUAUUCUCAUCUCAUCAAUCGUUGUUGCUUUCACGAAGUUUGUUCGGUUGCAGUUUUGAUACGAAAAAAGAGGAUUAUCUAAUUCCAGGAAUUCCAUUCAGAUAUCGUUAUGUUUAUGCUACAGCAGCAUAUUCUUCUUCAGCUGAACGAAACUAUUAUCAGAUACUUGGUGUUGGUGAAAAUGCUAGUCAGGAUGAGAUAAAGAAGGCAUUUCACUCGCUUGCUAAAAAGUACCAUCCAGAUGCAAAUAAGAGUAAUCCAUCAGCAAAGAGGAAAUUUCAAGAUGUAAGAGAAGCUUAUGAGACAUUAAGAGACUCUAAAAAGAGGGCCGAGUAUGACAAGAUGCGUGCUCACGGUUCAGAGAAUAUGGGAUAUGGUAACAAUUACGAUGAUGCAGAAAGAUUUAGAAAGGCCUAUCGUUCUCAUUUUUCUGAUUCAUUUCAUCAAGUAUUCUCUGAGAUAUUUGAAGAAGCAACAACUCAGUUCUCAUCAAAUAUAGAGGUGGAGCUAUCACUUACCUUCUCGGAAGCCGCGAGAGGAUGCACCAAAAAUGUGUCAUUUGAUGCAGCAGUUCCCUGUGAUAAUUGUGAUGGACGGGGACAUCCACAAAAUGCUACCCGAACAGUUUGUCCAUCAUGCAGGGGUGCCGGUCGAGUUACAAUCCCACCAUUUACAUCAACAUGCAUUACUUGUAAAGGAUCUGGCCGCAUUAUUAAGGAGUUUUGUUUGUCUUGUGGAGGAUCUGGGGUUAUUGAAGGGAUUAAAGAGGUUAAAGUUACCAUACCAGCAGGUGUGGAUUCAGGAGAUACAAUCCAUGUGCCAGAAGGUGGGAAUGCUGCUGGAAGUGGUGGUCGACAUGGGAGUUUAUACAUUAAAAUAAAGGUGGAUGAGGAUCCAGUCUUUUCGAGGGAUGGUGCAGAUAUCUACGUGGAAUCUAAUAUUAGCUUUACACAGGCUAUUCUUGGUGGCAAAGUUGAGGUGCCUACUUUAUCAGGGAAGAUGCAAGUAAAGAUACCUAAGGGUGUUCAACCAGGACAGCUGCAAGUAUUUAGAGGCAAAGGACUGCCAAAGCAUGGGUAUUUUGUACAUCAUGGCAAUCAGUAUGUGCGUUUCCGUGUAAAGUUUCCCACUGCAAUCAAUGAACGACAACGUGCUAUACUUGAAGAAUUUGCAAAGGAGGAAAUAAAGGAGGGAAAUAGUUCAAUAUCUGAAGGAAAUUGGUGGCAGCAAAUUAUUGAAUACAUGACGGCUCCAAAGUCUAUGCUGGAACUGUCCAUGGUAAUAUUGUUCCUUGUUUUAAUGAGCAAAAUGUUGAGCUGAUACCUUGCUCGAAGUGCAAACGGGAUUGAAGUGGACUUGUCAAACACAAAUUCUUGUGAUUGCUGUACUCUUCAUCCUCUCAGACUAUGUACAGUACAAGGGUUAAUGCUCCUUUUAUCGGUUGAUUUUUUUGGCUUGUUCCUGCACUUGUGAUUCAUUAUGUACCCAAAAAGUAGAAGGAAGAAAUUCACUGUAUUGAUGCUGAACUUCAGGCUUCUUUCAAAGUGAGAUGUCAAGUUACAAGAGAAAAGAGAAAACUAAAUACCCAGGCAAUACACUUGUCAGUCUAUUCCAAAGAGUCCUAACCAAUUCCAGUAUAUCUCCGCCAUGAUGUUUCGAAUCUUAAUUCAUCUAGCAUGCAAUUUCAUUCCACUGUCAAAUUGUGUCAAUGGACUGACUUCUUCCACUGAUGAAUGAAUUCUAUCAUUUAACCUGGGACAGCUCCAUGAAGAAGCAUACAUCAACUAAAUGCUUAUGAUUAUGCUAGAAAGUUUGUGACCGAUCAUGAUUGCCUACACACACCUUAUAUGUCAGAAAUUAGCUUUCUUGUAGAGAGAUUGGAGCAAGUGGCAAUCUGAGAUCCAUCAAGUAUAGGAAUAAGUGAAUGGACUAAGGAAAUCAAGGCUGUAUCGUUGAAAGAUGCUAUUUCUUGGAGUCCUGUCCAAUUUUUACUGUUGAACUAUCAGAGUAAGAUUGCAAGUUAAACGACAGUGAAAAUUUAUUUGAUGAAGAAUUCUUCCACAGUUUAAUUGAUUAUUGAUUUCCAAUCAAAGAUGGAAACUAUUCAUUUUCAAUAUAUUUUUUCUUGUUCAUUGAUUUUGUUU
RNA transcript from Medicago truncatula (barrel medic), 2403 nucleotides. It is a transcript of the gene named chaperone protein dnaJ 1, mitochondrial, with no coding region annotated. The transcript is spliced from 21 exons. The record is from RefSeq and is a predicted model, not a curated record. NCBI's taxonomy places the organism in Eukaryota, Viridiplantae, Streptophyta, Magnoliopsida, Fabales, Fabaceae.